CCUACGGGAGGCAGCAGUGGGGAAUUUUGGACAAUGGGCGCAAGCCUGAUCCAGCAAUGCCGCGUGAGUGAAGAAGGCCUUCGGGUUGUAAAGCUCUUUUGUCAGGGAAGAAACGGUGGAGGUUAAUACCUUCUGCUAAUGACGGUACCUGAAGAAUAAGCACCGGCUAACUACGUGCCAGCAGCCGCGGUAAUACGUAGGGUGCAAGCGUUAAUCGGAAUUACUGGGCGUAAAGCGUGCGCAGGCGGUUGUGCAAGACAGAUGUGAAAUCCCCGGGCUCAACCUGGGAAUUGCAUUUGUGACUGUACGGCUAGAGUGUGUCAGAGGGGGGUAGAAUUCCACGUGUAGCAGUGAAAUGCGUAGAGAUGUGGAGGAAUACCGAUGGCGAAGGCAGCCCCCUGGGAUAACACUGACGCUCAUGCACGAAAGCGUGGGGAGCAAACAGGAUUAGAUACCCUGGUAGUCCACGCCCUAAACGAUGUCUACUAGUUGUCGGGUCUUUAUUGACUUGGUAACGCAGCUAACGCGUGAAGUAGACCGCCUGGGGAGUCGGUCGCAAGAUUAAAACUUAAAGGAAUUGACGG
This 584-nucleotide ribosomal RNA is filed under the name uncultured bacterium. RNAcentral describes it as "bacterial SSU rRNA". It matches the Rfam family "Bacterial small subunit ribosomal RNA", at positions 338 to 916 of the family's 1533-position model. The record is from RNAcentral.